CUCUCCCAUAACUCUAAAUCAGACACUAGCGGUAAUGUUGUGCUCUUUUCACAGAAAGACGCAAAAAAAGAGAAAGCUAGAGCCAAUCUUUUGCGUGCUGCACA
Molecule: small RNA, 104 nt
Filed under: Vibrio cholerae O1 biovar El Tor str. N16961
Lineage: Bacteria; Pseudomonadati; Pseudomonadota; Gammaproteobacteria; Vibrionales; Vibrionaceae
Source: RNAcentral